UACAGGGGGGGCAAGCGUUGUUCGGAAUUACUGGGCGUAAAGGGCUCGUAGGUGGCCAACUAAGUCGGACGUGAAAUCCCUCAGCUUAACUGGGGAACUGCAUCCGAUACUGGAUGGCUUGAGUUUGGGAGAGGGAUGCGGAAUUCCAGGUGUAGAGGUGAAAUUCGUAGAUAUCGGGAGGAACACCGGUGGCGAAGGCGGCGACCUGGGUAGAUACUGACGCUGAGGCGCGAAAGCGUGGGGAGCAAACAGG
Molecule: ribosomal RNA, 253 nt
Filed under: uncultured bacterium
Lineage: Bacteria
Description: partial 16S ribosomal RNA
Rfam family: Bacterial small subunit ribosomal RNA
Source: RNAcentral